GAAGCAAGGACCAAAGGGGGAAACCCUAACUUUUAGAAAAUCUCAAGAUUAGGAAGACAAUAAGAGCCCAAACCAAUGCAUGAACUCGAAUUUUCAACCAUCUAAGCUUGUUCAUCAAAAGGCGUGAAGGAAGAAAGCUCGAACACUAGUAAAGCGGGAGGCGUACAAGAUCGAGGUAAAUCCUCAACUUAGGCGACUCGGCGAAAUGGAGCGAGCACAUGAUCAAAAUAUGUCUUACCAAGCGCUUCCGCUAGCUUAUGUUAAUGUUUUGGGUCAAAAUACUUUUGUACAAUUUGUUGGUAAAACACCUUUAAGUACUUGAUGUUUUAGUUUUUAGUAGUAUCUUGUAGAAUGCUAGUGUCUUGAUUGUGGAUAUAACAGGGGUAUACUCGUUUUACG
Helianthus annuus (common sunflower) is the source of this 399-nucleotide long non-coding RNA. RefSeq lists it as uncharacterized. NCBI's taxonomy places the organism in Eukaryota, Viridiplantae, Streptophyta, Magnoliopsida, Asterales, Asteraceae. The transcript has 3 exons. The record is from RefSeq and is a predicted model, not a curated record.